Molecule: non-coding RNA, 1590 nt
Organism: Odocoileus virginianus texanus
Lineage: Eukaryota; Metazoa; Chordata; Mammalia; Artiodactyla; Cervidae
Source: RefSeq, a predicted model, not a curated record
GACAGUUCCCGCGGGAGCGUCAGCGACAGCCCAGACAGGCUGCCCUGCAGACACUCAGGCCUCAGGAACCGUGCCCCAGGUCAGCAGCCGCGACGGGCUCCCCUCCCCACACGCUCACACGCAGGACCAGUCCAGGAAGCUCAAAACCAGUGCCCAGAGCACCCAGCCCCUGACCAGCACACGUGGGCAUCAUGUGUCACGUGUAUGGUCCUUGGCCACUUCACGCGUGUACAAGCAGCAAGCAGCGGGGUCAAGACGGCCCUGUUUUCCGUCCUAUGACCAUCAUCUUAAGAACAUUCCAGAAGUGGAAUCGCAGGGCAGGCGGCCUUUGUGAUGGGCUCUUCUCCCUCAGGACACACCCGGCUGCAGGCCAGUGGGUGGACACACCGUGGACUCCAGCAGGUUCCAUCUGAGCCCACUGCCAGUGGCGGCCGUGUGCGCUGGGGCCAGACCCCCGAGAAGCCCACACGCGCCUCUGGGGUCCCCCCAAGAAGGAUGCCCGCCAGCUCUGUGCCUGGCACUGCCCCCAACACGGGGUGUGGCUGCCGUCCUCUCUGAAGCUCACUCAUCUCCAAGUCGGACGGGUCCACCUUUGUUUUCGCUGUUGCUGCUCCCACACGUGCAGGAGCUGUCACACGUGUGGUUCAGAGCUGUUUUCCCCACUCUAGCUUCUCAUCCUGCUGACAGCCUUCAGCACAGCAAAAACUGCUGAUUAAGUCCAAUUUACCCAUUUUCUCUGAUGGAUCAUGGUCCAGGUGUGAAGUUCAUGGCAAGGCCACUUUCCUUGCCCAGCGACUCUACGAAUGGCUUUGCACCGCUGUCUUCCGCUCCUCCAUCCUGCCCUGGGACCUGUGUGUCUGUCCUGACCACACCACACAGGGCUAAUUCCAGCAGCUAGAGUCCGCCACGGCCUGGUGGGCUGAACCGACCACUUGCCCUAACUCUCCGAUAAAUUCUACAGUGAGUCCAUCUGAAUUCUGGUGGGGACUGAGCUGACCCCUUGACCACUGCUGGAGAGCCUUCCCCUCACUGGUCUCUGGGAGGCGAGCUAGUCUCCCUGUUCACUGAGGCCUUCCCCGACCUCCCGCAUCCUGGGACCCUCUUCAACACACCCUGGGGCCUGAAAUGCUUUCCCAGGCAAACAGCACGCUGUCUGCACAUGGCCACACUGCCUGUCCCUUCUGCCCCUCUCCUACCUGCGUGCACUGCCAGGGUCAGCCCUGGAGAGCGUGCGGUCCUCCGAAACCCAGCGUGUGGCAGGCAGCAGGACUCAAGACGCGCCAGCUCAAGUCUACAGACUACGAGCCAACGGUCUGUCAAGAGUGCUCCCCACAGUGAGUUGGACUCCGGGGACACCUUUUCUGCACCGUGCUAUGAUCACACAGUUCCCCUCCAGAGCCAGUUAACAUGGACCAUGCCUGUGGGUUUGAGGAUGUUGAGCCAGCCAUGCCUUAUGGGACAAGCCCUGUCUGGCUGUGGCGAGCUCUUGCGCUGGCUUCUGUGAGCGAUGCUUCCCUGGGGUCUCUGGUUUUCUUCUGCAUUGUCUCCGUCUGGUUUUGGCAUCAGCCUCAUAAAAUCAACUGCAAAAUA